This 497-nucleotide ribosomal RNA is filed under the name uncultured bacterium. RNAcentral's name for it is "partial 16S ribosomal RNA". It matches the Rfam family "Bacterial small subunit ribosomal RNA", at positions 28 to 507 of the family's 1533-position model. The record is from RNAcentral.
GAUGAACGCUGGCGGCGUGCCUAAUACAUGCAAGUCGAGCGAACGGACGAGAAGCUUGCUUCUCUGAUGUUAGCGGCGGACGGGUGAGUAACACGUGGAUAACCUACCUAUAAGACUGGGAUAACUUCGGGAAACCGGAGCUAAUACCGGAUGAUAUUUUGAGCCGCAUGGUUCAAAAGUGAAAGACGGUCUUGCUGUCACUUAUAGAUGGAUCCGCGCUGCAUUAGCUAGUUGGUAAGGUAACGGCUUACCAAGGCAACGAUGCAUAGCCGACCUGAGAGGGUGAUCGGCCACACUGGAACUGAGACACGGUCCAGGCUCCUACGGGAGGCAGCAGUAGGGAAUCUUCCGCAGUGGGCGAAAGCCUGACGGAGCAACGCCGCGUGAGUGAUGACGGUCUUCGGAUCGUAAAACUCUGUUAUUAGGGAAGAACAUAUGUGUAAGUAACUGUGCACAUCUUGACGGUACCUAAUCAGAAAGCCACGGCUAACUACGUG